RNAcentral lists this small RNA (3377 nucleotides) under freshwater metagenome. Its description in RNAcentral is "bacterial LSU rRNA". It matches the Rfam family "Bacterial large subunit ribosomal RNA". The record is from RNAcentral.
AAAACUUUAUUAAGGGCGUAUGGUGGAUGCCUCGGCAUAGAAAGGCGAUGAAGGACGUUGCGUGCCAACGAUAUUCUUCGGGGAGCUGGUGAGCGAGCUUCGAUCCGGAGAUUUCCGAAUGGGGAAACCCUGUAUCGGCAAACCGAUAUAAUCCGUCGAAAGACGGGAGCAUACCCGCUGAAGUGAAACAUCUCAGUAAGCGGAGGAACAGAAAAUAAUGAAACUUUUAUUCUCGGGAGCUCUAUAGUGGGCGCUCGGGAAUAAAAAGUUUUAACAUUCCCUAAGUAGCGGCGAGUGAAAUGGGAACAGCCCAAACCGAGAUCGUGGCCCUCAAAAGCUACGGGCUCGGGGUUAUAGGAUGUCGUAUCCUUUAAUGGAACGAGUUUAAAAAAUUGUUCGUAUUAGCUAAACAUGUCUGGAAAGACUGGCCAAAGAGGGUAAUAGCCCCGUAGGCGAAAAUACGAGCAAGCUCGCGCGACAUUCCUGAGUACUACCCAUGUAAGGAGACUGGGUAGGAAUUCGGCAGAACUAGUCUGCCAAGGCUAAAUACUUUCUAUGACCGAUAGUGAACAAGUACCGUGAGGGAAAGGUGAAAAGCAGCCCCGUGAGGGCGGUGAAAUAGACCUGAAACCAUAUGUUUACAAGGAGUCAGCGAGGCCGUAAGGCCUCUAUGGCGUGCCUAUUGAAGAAUGAGCCAACGAGUUAUUCUACACUGCUUGAUUAAAUCCUUCGGGAUGAAGUCAGAGGGAAACCAAGUGUUAAAAGCGCGCAUACUCUCUAUAAAAUUCAUUGCGGAAUUCGUUCUGCGGUGAGUUUUAUAGGCGAGUUGGUAGUGUGGAGUAGACCCGAAGCCAGGUGAGCUACCCAUGAGCAGGAUGAACUCCAACGAAAGUUGGAGGGAGGUCCGAACCGGUGAGCCGUUCAAAACUCUCGGAUGACUUGUGGGUAGGAGUGAAAAGCUAAUCGAACUUGGUAAUAGCUGGUUCUCUCCGAAAUAGCUUUAGGGCUAGCCUCGGAUUAUAAGCGGCGUGAGGUAGAGCACUGGAAGGUCUAUAAUUGCCGAAAGGCAGGUAGACCUAUCAAACUCCGAAUGCGCGCCGAUUUAUUCCGGGAGUCAGCAGGUGGGGGCAAAGCUCCAUCGUGCAUGAGGGGAAGAGCCCAGAUCGUCGUCUAAGGCCCCUAAAUCUACACUAAGUGUUUAAGGUGGUGACAUUUCUCAAACAGCAAGGAGGUUGGCUUAGAAGCAGCCAUCCUAUAAUGAGUGCGUAACAGCUCACUUGUCUAGAGAUAUUGCGCCAACAAUUCAACGGGGCUAAGUGUAGUGCCGAAGACACGGGUUCGUAGAUCUCAUUGAGGAAAGUAAUACAUAAGGCAGGGAAGUAGCUUAAUGGCAGAGCGGGUGCUUGGCGCAUUGCAGUGGAGCAAUUGCAUUAAGCACUGAAAGACUGUGGGUUCGAAUCCCACCUUCCCAGCCAAAUCUUGGGUAGGUCUGUAGCUCAGGUGGCAGAGCACUCCCUUUAGCAGGGGAGGGGCCGGAGGUUCAAUCCCUCCCAGACCUACCAAAUUAGUUCUUUCUUAAGGCAAGCGACAUGCUUGCCUCCUCAAUGAGAUCUACGAGCGGUAGGAGAGCAUUUUCAUUGCAGUGAAGGUCGACCCGCGAGGGCGACUGGAGCGAUGAGAAGGGAGAAUGUUGGCACUAGUAACCACAAAUUCGGUGAAAGUCCGAAUCGCCGGAAGUCUAAGGUUUCCUUGGCAAUGACAAUCAACCAAGGGUAAGGCGGUCCUAAGGGGAUGGUGAAAACCGAACCUGAUGGAUAAUCGGUUAAUAUUCCGAUCCUUCUUCUGUUUUCCAAUGGAGGGACGGAGCGUAUUAGGUAUGGCGCAUUAUUGAAUUUGACGCUCAUGCCCGCAAGAUGUUCUCUUGGCAAAUCCGGAGAGCUGCCUUCAAUGGCGGAUCAAGCGGGAGUGAAAAUUCUGUAGAAGUACAGGAAAUCAUACCGAACGCGCUUCCCAGAAAAACUUCUAGGGUUAAGGCAGGAGAAACCGUACCGAAAACCGACACAGGUGGACUGGUACAAGAAUACCAAGGCGAACGGGUGAGAUUUCGUUAAGGAACUCGGCAAAAAAGCGGCCGUAACUUCGGGAUAAGGCCUGCCCCGCGAACGCGGGGCCGCAGCGAAAGUAUCUCUGGCAACUGUUUACCAAAAACACAGGUCCGUGCUAACUCGUAAGAGGAUGUAUACGGGCUGACGCCUGACCAAUGCGAGAAGGUUAAAGAUUCUUGUUGUGGGGGUUUAUUCUCUCACAGCUCUGGGUCUCAAGCCCUCGUCAAUGUCAGCAGUAACUAUAACUGUUCUAAGGUAGCGAAGUUCCUUGUCGGGUAAGUUCCGACGCGCACGAAAGGCGUAAUGACUGGAGAACUGUCUCAACGAAAUGCCCGGUGAAAAUACAGUACCGGUGAAGAUGCCGGUUACCCAUAGUUAGACGAAAAGACCCCGGAAGCUUUACUGUAGCUUGGCAUUGAAUUUACUAUUUGGCUGCGUAGCAUAGAUGGGAGAGGUUGAUCCCCGGUUUCCGGAUCGGGGGGACUCGUCAGUGAAAUACCAUUCUUUCAAAUUGUAUUUUCUAACCUACACAAAACCAAAAAGGAAAGUGUGUAGAGACAGUGCCUGGUGGGCAGUUUAAGUGGGGCACUUUCCUCCCAAAAGGUAAUGGAGGAGUUUAUUAAGGUCAGCUUACUCCGGAUGGAAAUCGGAGGGGACGUGUAAAGGCACAAGCUGGCUUAACUGCAAGGCGGAUAUGCCGCGCAGAUGCGAAAGCAGAACUUAGUGAACCGAUGGUCAUGGUAUAUGUUUUCAUUUCGCACUUCGGUGCGAGACGAAGAUGUAUGUCGCUUUCUAGAAAAAGGCCAAAGAUUAUCAGAUAAAAGCUACUCCGGGGAUAACAGGCUAGUCGUUUCCAAGAGUCCAUAUCGACGAAACGGAUCGGCACCUCGAUGUCGGCUCAACUUAGCGCGGGGGUGAAGAAGCUCCCAAGCGUUCGGCUGUUCGCCGAUUAAAAAGUUACGUGAGCUGGGUUCAAACCGUCGUGAGACAGGUUGGUCUCCUAUCUACUAUGGGCGUUGAUACUUGUGGGGAGUCGUUUCUAGUACGAGAGGACCGAAAUGAACGUACCUCUGGUGUAUCGGUUGUUCCGUCAGGAGCAUUGCCGAGUAGCUAUGUACGGAUGUGAUAACCGCUGAAAGCAUCUAAGCGGGAAGCACGCCCCGAGAUUAGGUAUCAUAGACUCGUGAAAGACUAUCACGUUGAUAGGCUUCAGGUGUACGCACCGCAAGGUGUUGAGCCGAGAAGUACUAAUACGUCAUCUAAGUUUUAUCC